RNAcentral lists this ribosomal RNA (332 nucleotides) under uncultured Acidobacteriota bacterium. RNAcentral describes it as "bacterial SSU rRNA". It matches the Rfam family "Bacterial small subunit ribosomal RNA", at positions 568 to 898 of the family's 1533-position model. The record is from RNAcentral. Lineage: Bacteria; Pseudomonadati; Acidobacteriota.
UUCGUAGGUGGCUUGCUAAGUCAGACGUGAAAUCCCUCAGCUUAACUGGGGAACUGCGUCUGAGACUGGCGAGCUUGAGUGCAGGAGAGGAACGCGGAAUUCCAGGUGUAGCGGUGAAAUGCGUAGAUAUCUGGAGGAACACCGGUGGCGAAGGCGGCGUUCUGGACUGCAACUGACACUGAGGAACGAAAGCCAGGGGAGCAAACGGGAUUAGAUACCCCGGUAGUCCUGGCCCUAAACGAUGAAUGCUUGGUGUGGCGGGUAUCGAUCCCUGCCGUGCCGAAGUUAACGCGUUAAGCAUUCCGCCUGGGGAGUACGGUCGCAAGGCUGAA